GUGGGGCUCCAUAUUUUUUUGAGGGGGGUCUUGUCCCAGCUGGAUGCCAUUAGGACUCAGCUCCAGUCUAAGCCCUCCGCAUCCAGUGAACUCGCUUUUGUCCAGUCUAUUGCAUUCCAUCCCUCAACAUCUUCCACUCGGAUCAGACCCCUCACUUGAGGCUAAGGUUGAUUAUGUUUCACUUAUCUUGAUUCUGAGCUCGAUGCCCAUUCUCACUGAUUUGAUCUGAUCAUUUUGUACUAGACGUUUUAGGUU
RNAcentral lists this long non-coding RNA (255 nucleotides) under Elaeis guineensis (African oil palm). RNAcentral describes it as "long non-coding RNA (EGUI_LNC049806)". Lineage: Eukaryota; Viridiplantae; Streptophyta; Magnoliopsida; Arecales; Arecaceae. The record is from RNAcentral.